Myotis lucifugus (little brown bat) is the source of this 1485-nucleotide long non-coding RNA. RefSeq lists it as uncharacterized. The transcript is spliced from 3 exons. NCBI's taxonomy places the organism in Eukaryota, Metazoa, Chordata, Mammalia, Chiroptera, Vespertilionidae. The record is from RefSeq and is a predicted model, not a curated record.
UCCAACCUGCUGUGCAUGUGUGCAUAGCCAUGCCAAAAAUAAUACAUGGAAACUAACAAUUUGGCUGUUCAGGACACUCAGAUUUUAAAAAGAUGAGCACAAAAGAUGGAACAAAAGGCCCCAAAAGACCAGUGUAAGAAAAAGCUGAGACUUGCAAAAAGCCUAAAGACAACAGAAAUUUUUGUUUUAGUUGUGUUCAGAGUAGGAAGAACGAGAAAAAAACGAAAGCUAACUGCUUGAGGCAGAUGGUGUAAAACUGUAAACAGGACGAAAGAGCUGGAUGCCAACACGGUAUCAUUUAGAACAAGUCUCAUCAAACUCUCAUUUGCUUUUUUGAUGGUAUUACCCAACAGGUCAUAUAAGGUAAUUGCUCUGAGCAAAACAUUUUACCGAAGCUCUCGUAAUACUCUCAUGGGCAAGAUAGGAAAACCAAGGUAGCUUCCUAACUCCCUAAGCAACUAAGCCCAUAAUGUAGUCUUCAGUGGACUACAUUAACCUGAAGGCCAGGCGUGCCCCUGUGUUCUGUCCUCUUCAACACCUGAGUAUGAAAUUUGGCCUGAGAACUCAAAUGAUCACAUCCACAGAUGACCCGAAGCUGGGAAGGAUGGAUGCCUGGCAAAUGGUUAAACUGUGGCACAUCCAUACUGUGAAAUACUACUCAGUGAUGAAAAAGAAUGAACUCGUGAUAAAACAACUUCAGUGAAUCUCCAGGUAAUUAGGGAAUUUGGGGUUGCCAGGAAUCAGGGAUGGGGGUGGUAGGGGAUACAUGAAAACUGACACAGUUUUUAAAUUAACCUCUGUAUGACCCUACAAUCGCCCUGCUGUGGGUGCCUCUGACACAAUGCAAUUCCACAAGGAGGGAGCCACUGUCCCCCACUCUGCCACAGACCACCAAAUAGCCUUGAAACAGGCACCGACAGAAACUGCUGGGCCUGGUGGAGUCACAGGGGAGAGAGCGGCUCCGAGAGACAAGAGCAGUGUUGGUGGGUCCUGGGGAUUGGCCCACAGUUUUAUGACCUUCAUAGGGCCCAGCAGAACUGGGCAUUCACCAGCUGCGAAACUUCCUCGAGUGGCCUUGUUCUUGAACACAGGUCCGGUGUGACCCAGGACUGUUUGAGGCACACAUCUACGGUAGUCUUUGUCUCUCGGACAUCGCCUAAGAGUUGUCCUGGGAACAGAAUCUGCUACAGUUCCCUGCAUGCCUGCCCAGAGCUCUGCUGAGGGUGUGAUCAUGGACGCUGGGCUAACUGUGGAGGGAGAGGAGCCAAUCACCCAACGGCUAGGAAUUAGAAAAAUUGCUCCAUCAUUAAGCUCCUCUUUGUCCAAUUUAUAACAUUUUACAGGUCCCAACGCGUGGAAAUUAAGGGGUGGGAAUGAAUCCUGGAAAUGAGGGAGCUGAGAGCCAGGAAGUCGGGGUCCCUGGGUCUGGCACCCACUCCUCAACAGAACCCUGCUUCCACCGCUCCCUGGGCUGAUGCUGCGGGU